Molecule: long non-coding RNA, 1500 nt
Filed under: Sus scrofa (pig)
Lineage: Eukaryota; Metazoa; Chordata; Mammalia; Artiodactyla; Suidae
Description: lncRNA (ENSSSCG00040026799.1)
Source: RNAcentral
GGUAGUUAUCCUCUUUUAUUUACUCAAAUACACUGACAAGUGAGUUCAGCAAUUUAAGUCCCCCUUAAACUCAGUUCAUUCCUUGCAUUCCCACCAUCUUGCAGGCAUCUGCCAAGAGCAGGGUUGUCCUCCUAGUUCCACGGUGGAGUAGAACUGGGUCAGCAUCAGGUAUGUAUCCAGCCUGAUUGGGCGCCUUUGGUCAGGAUGUCAGUGGAGGCAUCCUUCAAACUCCAUCACUUCUGUUUGGGAGGGAGGGGCACAGGCAGCCGUAGCAGUAGAACACUGUCCUCAAGUCAGAUAUCCAGAACAUCGAAAAGAAGGACGAGAAAGAAAAUGAAUUAGAUCGUAGGGAAGGUGCAAUUGGAGGCAGCCAGCCAAACGCUUCCCACCUGGGUGGAAGGCAGCAAAGACAUGUGAGCCGUUGGCCCAGGUGGACAGACCCUCAAGUGUUUGUUGUUGUCGAAUCCCAAGGUCAAUGGGAUGGACGGUCCUCUUUCAUGAACUAUUCAGAAGGCUUCUUAGUGCUUGGGUCCAAGGAAUUAGAGGGCUGGCAAAUCACACAGGCCUUGAGGAUCAAAAUGUAGGUUUCCUUGAACUUCUUUAUUUUAUAAGCAUAGACGAUAGGGUUCAUCAUGGAGUUAGCAUGGGACAGCAGGAUGCCCAAGUACAGCACAACUUCUGGCACUUCACCUUUAAAGUAGAUGAUACAGUUGAUGAUAGAUAAAGGCAGCCAGGACAAGGCAAAUAAGAAAAGAACCAGAAACAGAGACUUGGCUGUCUUGAACUCCCGUCCAUAAAAUGCACCUGUCUCUUUGGAGCCAGAGAAGUUAUGAUUGAGUUUGUGCCGGAUGACAUAGAAGAUGUCAAGGUAGAUGGCGCACAUGACAACCAGGGGAAUGAAAAUCCAAGUGAAGAAGCUGAAGUAGACCAUGUAGUCCAUCCUCAUGACGGAACGGAACUGGCAGGAAAGGAAGGUGAGGUUCCGGUGGUACUCUGAGGUCAGUUUCACGUUCCAGCCGAACAUGGGGGUCAGGCCCACCAGGAAUGACACCAGCCAGCAAAGGCCCAGAGCCAACCAUAUUCUUCGUUGAGUGGUGACCCUCCUGUAUCUUUACCUGACCGUGAGCUUGACCCGCAGGUAUCGGUCCACGGCAAUGGCUAGCAAGGACAUGAUGGAGGCGUGGGUGAAGAUCAGCAGCAGGCAGGUCAUGAGAAGGCAGCUAUAAAAGUGGAUCGUGACACCCAAGCUGACGACGAUGGCCAAAGGCAUGACCAGCACCCCAACAGCGAUGUCAGCCAGGGCAAGGGAGACAAUGAAAUAGAAGGUGGUGGUCUUCAGGCUGGGGUUCAGCUUGACCACCCAGAUGACCAGCACGUUGCCCACUAUGGCGCAGAGCCCGAUGAGAAUCUCCACGGUGAUGUAGGCCACACUGGCCAAUGACACAGCAGUGCUGUUGACCAGCAUCUUGCUCUCCAAGAGGAGCCUCCCAGGGGACAGAU